Molecule: ribosomal RNA, 253 nt
Filed under: uncultured bacterium
Lineage: Bacteria
Description: partial 16S ribosomal RNA
Rfam family: Bacterial small subunit ribosomal RNA
Source: RNAcentral
UACGGGGGGGGUAAGCGUUGUUCGGAAUUACUGGGCGUAAAGGGCUCGUAGGCGGCCAACUAAGUCAGACGUGAAAUCCCUCAGCUUAACUGGGGAACUGCGUCUGAUACUGGAUGGCUUGGAUUCGGGAGAGGAAUGCGGAAUUCCAGGUGUAGCGGUGAAAUGCGUAGAUAUCUGGAGGAAUACCGGUGGCGAAGGCGGCAUCCUGGACCGACAUUGACGCUGAGGAGCGAAAGCUAGGGGAGCAAACGGG